RNAcentral lists this ribosomal RNA (75 nucleotides) under uncultured bacterium. Its description in RNAcentral is "partial 16S ribosomal RNA". The record is from RNAcentral.
AUGGGAGUCGGGAGGACCUGAAGGCCACGGUUUGGUUGUAAGACGCUGUUUAGGGUAAAACCGAUGACUGGGGCU